AAGCGGCUGGCACCCGUCCACAACUGCCACAUCUCGGGUCCUCGGACCCGCAGAACCCCGCGAAAGAAGUGCAUUAAUCUGUUAUGCGAAGUUGGGCGAGAGGCGUCUCGCCGGAUCCCCCGAGGGUCCGAAUCAAAGCGCACACCCCAUUUUCAACCACACCAAACUCUGAAUCUGAACUCGAAAGGGAGGCCUGGCUUCACGGCCGGCCGCCCUCAACCUUAUAACGUUGUAAAACUUUCAGCGACGGAUGUCUUGGCUCCCACAACGAUGAAGAACGCAGCGAAAUGCGAUACGUCUUGCGACUUGCAGAAUCCAGUGAAUCAUCAAAACUUUGAACGCACCUUGCGCUUCCGGGAUAUUCCUGGGAGCAUGCUUGUCGGAGUGUCUGUUGACACCACUCGCCAGCCUCUCUUUGUUUCCUUCGGGAAGCCGAGGGAGGCCAGCGGACUCUGCGUGUUCCGGAGCUCCCGACGCCUUCAUUGCGCGUCCGGGAAACGCUCCGAGUGCACCGAAUCUCGUGAACGAAACCUCUCUUCUGCCUGCGGCCUUGGCUGCGCAGAGUUGUUGACGGCGCUCGUACCCCUACUUACGUAUGGGUUCGGCGACUCUCGGCUCGAUAAAAAGCGCGGCCCUGCGUCCCUGCCGAGGAGGUGGUGGUGUUUUUCCGGUGGGCGGCCCUUGCGGCCGUCCCUCCGCGUUUUACUACUUUCGU
This 715-nucleotide unclassified non-coding RNA is filed under the name Desmarestia antarctica. RNAcentral's name for it is "sequence contains ITS1". The stretch from base 236 to 390 matches the Rfam family "5.8S ribosomal RNA". Lineage: Eukaryota; Phaeophyceae; Desmarestiales; Desmarestiaceae. The record is from RNAcentral.